RNAcentral lists this ribosomal RNA (492 nucleotides) under uncultured bacterium. RNAcentral's name for it is "partial 16S ribosomal RNA". It matches the Rfam family "Bacterial small subunit ribosomal RNA", at positions 29 to 507 of the family's 1533-position model. The record is from RNAcentral.
AGUGAACGCUGGCGGUAGGCCUAACACAUGCAAGUCGAACGGCAGCGCAGUAAGAGCUUGCUCUUACGGGUGGCGAGUGGCGGACGGGUGAGGAAUACAUCGGAAUCUACUUUUUCGUGGGGGAUAACGUAGGGAAACUUACGCUAAUACCGCAUACGACCUACGGGUGAAAGCAGUGGAUCUUCGGACCUUGCGCGACUGAAUGAGCCGAUGUCGGAUUAGCUAGUUGGCGGGGUAAAGGCCCACCAAGGCGACGAUCCGUAGCUGGUCUGAGAGGAUGAUCAGCCACACUGGAACUGAGACACGGUCCAGACUCCUACGGGAGGCAGCAGUGGGGAAUAUUGGACAAUGGGCGCAAGCCUGAUCCAGCCAUACCGCGUGGGUGAAGAAGGCCUUCGGGUUGUAAAGCCCUUUUGUUGGGAAAGAAAAGCAGCAGGUUAAUACCCCGCUGUUCUGACGGUACCCAAAGAAUAAGCACCGGCUAACUUCGUG